Molecule: small nucleolar RNA, 134 nt
Organism: Cavia aperea (Brazilian guinea pig)
Lineage: Eukaryota; Metazoa; Chordata; Mammalia; Rodentia; Caviidae
Source: Ensembl
AUGCCGCUGAGCUAAAUCCCCAGCCCCAACACUGUUGGUUUUAAGCAGGAGCCUAAAGAGAUGUCUUUCUAUGGUCUGUUAGCCAUUUCAGAACUUGGGCAGUGAAAUGGUCAAUUCACUAGAAAGAAAUAGCU